GUCACGUGAUGCAGCACAUGACCACAACGCCACAGACACAUUGGAAACACAAUCCCACAUCUCCCUCCGACCAUUCACAAAUAAUGUGUAUAGUGUAAUAUAAUAAAAGUGGACUAAGAUAUAGCCAGCCAGGGGAUAAGGGACUGCAUAACCAUGGAUACAAAUCAUAAUUUUCCACAGAUUGGUCUGAUAGGCAACAGACAACAGAAUGGCAAUGUGGUCAUGUGGACAACCACAUGACCGGAUUGCGGUGCCAAAUCACAUGAUCAAAAGCGACCUUAUUGUAUACAGGUACAAUUAUACAAUCAGUGCAAACAUAAAUAUAAGGGAGCAGUAGCAAUAAAGUGCCAAUGCACCAAAACAGGCGCCCUAUUGGCGUAAAGUGCAAUGUGCAGUAAUAGUUAUCUACUAUGUUUCUAUUAUAUAUUGUCCAUAUCACGAAAAACCAAAGUUAGACGACUUGACAUUAUAUAUAUAUAUAUAUAAGGCUACAAAGCAUUGACAGAUAGUAGUUGUGUGCAUGAUAAAAAAACAACCUUAAACCAUAAGAGGUAAUGAUUAUAAUUGGAA
This is a long non-coding RNA of Bufo bufo (common toad), 570 nucleotides long. RefSeq lists it as uncharacterized. NCBI's taxonomy places the organism in Eukaryota, Metazoa, Chordata, Amphibia, Anura, Bufonidae. The transcript is spliced from 3 exons. The record is from RefSeq and is a predicted model, not a curated record.